RNAcentral lists this ribosomal RNA (394 nucleotides) under uncultured bacterium. Its description in RNAcentral is "bacterial SSU rRNA". It matches the Rfam family "Bacterial small subunit ribosomal RNA", at positions 28 to 417 of the family's 1533-position model. The record is from RNAcentral.
GACGAACGCUGGCGGCGUGCUUAACACAUGCAAGUCGAGCGGUAAGGCCCUUUCGGGGUACGACGAGCGGCGAACGGGUGAGUAACACGUGGGUGACCUCGCCCUCCAGCUCUGGGAGUAAGCCCGGGAACGUAGGGUCGUAAUACCGGAUAUGACUCCAUGACGCAUGUUGUGGGGUGGAAAGCCUUGUGCGGCUGAGGAUGGGCCCGCGGCCUAUCAGCUUGUUGGGUGGGGUGAUGGCCUACCAAGGCGACGACGGGUAGCCGGCCUGAGAGGGCGACCGGCCACACUGGGACUGAGAUACGGCCCAGACUCCUACGGGAGGCAGCAGUGGGGAAUCUUGCGCAAUGGGCGAAAGCCUGACGCAGCGACGCCGCGUGAGGGAUGACGGCCU